UACGGAGGGUGCGAGCGUUAAUCGGAAUUACUGGGCGUAAAGCGCACGUAGGCGGUUUCUUAAGCUAGAUGUGAAAGCCCCGGGCUCAACCUGGGAACUGCAUUUAGAACUGGGAGGCUAGAGUAUGGUAGAGGAGUGUGGAAUUUCCGGUGUAGCGGUGAAAUGCGUAGAGAUCGGAAGGAACAUCAGUGGCGAAGGCGACACUCUGGACCAAUACUGACGCUGAGGUGCGAAAGCGUGGGUAGCAAACAGG
RNAcentral lists this unclassified non-coding RNA (253 nucleotides) under uncultured Cellvibrionales bacterium. RNAcentral describes it as "contains 16S-23S intergenic spacer region". It matches the Rfam family "Bacterial small subunit ribosomal RNA", at positions 524 to 776 of the family's 1533-position model. The record is from RNAcentral. Lineage: Bacteria; Pseudomonadati; Pseudomonadota; Gammaproteobacteria; Cellvibrionales.